GACGAACGCUGGCGGCGUGCUUAACACAUGCAAGUCGAACGGAAAGGCCCUGCUUUUGUGGGGUGCUCGAGUGGCGAACGGGUGAGUAACAUGUGAGUAACCUGCCCUUGACUUUGGGAUAACUUCAGGAAACUGGGGCUAAUACCGGAUAGGAGCUCCUGCUGCAUGGUGGGGGUUGGAAAGUUUCGGCGGUUGGGGAUGGACUCGCGGCUUAUCAGCUUGUUGGUGGGGUAGUGGCUUACCAAGGCUUUGACGGGUAGCCGGCCUGAGAGGGUGACCGGCCACAUUGGGACUGAGAUACGGCCCAGACUCCUACGGGAGGCAGCAGUGGGGAAUAUUGCACAAUGGGCGGAAGCCUGAUGCAGCAACGCCGCGUGCGGGAUGACGGCCUUCGGGUUGUAAACCGCUUUCGCCUGUGACGAAGCGUGAGUGACGGUAAUGGGUAAGGAAGCACCGGCUAACUACGUG
This 468-nucleotide ribosomal RNA is filed under the name uncultured bacterium. Its description in RNAcentral is "partial 16S ribosomal RNA". It matches the Rfam family "Bacterial small subunit ribosomal RNA", at positions 28 to 507 of the family's 1533-position model. The record is from RNAcentral.